RNAcentral lists this ribosomal RNA (952 nucleotides) under Triticum aestivum (bread wheat). RNAcentral describes it as "partial small subunit ribosomal RNA". Lineage: Eukaryota; Viridiplantae; Streptophyta; Magnoliopsida; Poales; Poaceae. The record is from RNAcentral.
AAUGUUACGGCUGCUUGCACUUCUUUCUGGUGCCUACUCUCCGGUAAUCGGUUUCUGAACUGUAGGCGUUCCUGUCUCGGGUGGUGGCUCGCUAGGAAUCUGUCUCUGCAGUUGGCGACGUGGUGGCUCUCCGUUAGUCUGAACUUUUCCUGUAGCCAUUUUGGGAGGAGGGCCUGAUUCGACUGUCGCGCGGCUUCUCGGUAACGAGGUCGGUUGAGGCUUCUUGCGUGCGGGGAAUUUCCAAGUCUCGUGCGUCGGUGUGUUAAGGGGAGUACCAACUCUUAGUGGUGAGGUUUGACCUGUACGGGUCGGGGAGUGUUUGUCGCCGCAGUCUCUUGCGUUGGUGACAUGGUACGCCGCCGCCUCUGGUUUCUUCCUGUCUUCUUCUCCAGAGUGCGGACCCUCGCACAUGUCCAAGCUGGGAGUAAGUCCGAUUACAAGGAGGAGAGAAAACGAAGUCGACCAAGGCAAAGCUUAGUUUUCCGGACGUCCCACUGGGGCUAGCGGCCUGCAGGUGCUCCCUAGCGGCCUCAAGCACCCCGAUGCAAAAGUAGGAGCACUUGUUGACGGAGGUCAUGUCGCGAAUGAUGCCGCACAGCUGCUUGGACCACUUGAAGGAGUUCCAGGUCGACGUGAGGCCGUCGUUCCGGCGCCGCUUGUCGCAGUGGUUGACCGUCCCGUGGCGGAGGUAGUGCGGCGAGCGCCGGCCGAAGGAGCGGCUGAGAAAGGAGCCGUCCAUGACCUGGUAGUGGGAGAAGGAGAAGUAGAGGCAGCGCCCCAUGCCGCAGCACCGCCGCUCGCGCCACAAGAUGCGCCCCGACAUGGACCACCGCGACCCGCCGCGCGACGUCGGCCAGGACAGCAGCAAGCCCCGGCUGGUCAAGCUGCGGCUCAGGCUGCUCCUCCUCGCGGCCGCCGUCUCGAGGAAGAAGUUGACCAAGAUGGACAGGUA